RNAcentral lists this ribosomal RNA (516 nucleotides) under uncultured bacterium. Its description in RNAcentral is "bacterial SSU rRNA". It matches the Rfam family "Bacterial small subunit ribosomal RNA", at positions 30 to 518 of the family's 1533-position model. The record is from RNAcentral.
CGAACGCUGGCGGCGUGGAUAAGACAUGCAAGUCGGACGCUUGUAUUUUGUAGCAAUAUGAGGAUACGGGAGUGGCGAAAGGGUGCGUAACACGUGGGUAAUUUGUCUGAGAGUUCAGGAUAAUUCGCUGAAAGGCGGAGUAAUACUGGAUGUGGAUAUUGGCUGGGAACGGCUGAUAUCUAAAGCCGGGGACCGCAAGGCCUGGUGCUCUUAGGUAAGCCCGCGACCUAUCAGCUAGUUGGUGAGGUAAGAGCCCACCAAGGCGGAGACGGGUAGCUGGUCUGAGAGGACGACCAGCCACACUGGAACUGAGACACGGUCCAGACACCUACGGGUGGCAGCAGUCGAGAAUCUUUCUCAAUGGGGGAAACCCUGAAGGAGCGACGCCGCGUGGGGGAUGAAGGGCUUCGGCUCCGUAAACCCCUGUCAUUUGUGAGCAAGUGUUAUUGUUUAAGAGAUGAUGACAUUGAUAGUAGCAAAAGAGGAAGGGACGGCUAACUCUGUGCCAGCAGCAGC